UUUAUGGAGAGUUUGAUCCUGGCUCAGGAUGAACGCUGGCGGCGUGCCUAAUACAUGCAAGUCGAGCGGACAGACAGGAGUGCUUGCACUCCUUGAAGUCAGCGGCGGACGGGUGAGUAACACGUGGGUAACCUACCUAUAAGACUGGGAUAACUUCGGGAAACCGGAGCUAAUACCGGAUAAUAUUUUCCACCUCAUGGUGGAAUAGUGAAAGACGGUUCUGCUGU
RNAcentral lists this ribosomal RNA (227 nucleotides) under Macrococcus carouselicus. Its description in RNAcentral is "partial 16S ribosomal RNA". It matches the Rfam family "Bacterial small subunit ribosomal RNA", at positions 1 to 221 of the family's 1533-position model. The record is from RNAcentral. Lineage: Bacteria; Bacillati; Bacillota; Bacilli; Caryophanales; Staphylococcaceae.